RNAcentral lists this unclassified non-coding RNA (253 nucleotides) under Hevea brasiliensis (rubber tree). The record is from RNAcentral. Lineage: Eukaryota; Viridiplantae; Streptophyta; Magnoliopsida; Malpighiales; Euphorbiaceae.
GCGGCUCGGAAUCUAGAUCAUUCGUGUUCGUUGUUUGGGAUCGUUUUCUAAGCGCUUGGAAUUGUAUACCGUAGUCCUUGGGUCUUCCUUUUCUCUCUUUAUUCACGGUUUUGAGGUGUGAACAAGCUCACUUGAACAGAAUCAGCGUCUACGAUGAUGCAAGUGUUGUUGCCAACGGUCAGGAGAGUCUAGAUCGUUCAAAAAUGGCCUUCGUCGGAGCUGGUUUUUCUCUGGCCAGCUAGGGAAGAAGAUG